RNAcentral lists this ribosomal RNA (159 nucleotides) under uncultured bacterium. Its description in RNAcentral is "partial 16S ribosomal RNA". It matches the Rfam family "Bacterial small subunit ribosomal RNA", at positions 355 to 509 of the family's 1533-position model. The record is from RNAcentral.
UGGGGAAUUUUGGACAAUGGGCGCAAGCCUGAUCCAGCCAUGCCGCGUGAGUGAAGAAGGCCUGGUUGUAAAGCUCUUUCGGCCGGGAAGAAAUCGUGGUCUCUAACAUAGGCCAUGGAUGACGGUACCGGACUAAGAAGCACCGGCUAACUACGUGCC